GCUCUGGUUUCAUUUCGCACCAACAGCUUCAGUAACCGACAUCGGUGCAGGUGCUUCCAUUUACCUGUCAGGAAAGGCGGAGGAAAAAGAAGAGGACGAACAGCAGCCGGAGGGAUGGACGUCACAGGGACAGUGGACGCAUCUCUACGCUGCUGAAUCCCUCCCACACCACC
Molecule: long non-coding RNA, 173 nt
Organism: Scleropages formosus (Asian bonytongue)
Lineage: Eukaryota; Metazoa; Chordata; Actinopteri; Osteoglossiformes; Osteoglossidae
Exons: 3
Source: RefSeq, a predicted model, not a curated record